This 301-nucleotide ribosomal RNA is filed under the name uncultured bacterium. RNAcentral's name for it is "partial 16S ribosomal RNA". It matches the Rfam family "Bacterial small subunit ribosomal RNA", at positions 509 to 809 of the family's 1533-position model. The record is from RNAcentral.
CAGCAGCCACGGGAAAACGAAGGGGGCUAGCGUUGUUCGGAUUUACUGGGCGUAAAGGGCGCGUAGGCGGACUGAUAAGUCAGGGGUGAAAUCCCAAGGCUCAACCUUGGAACUGCCUUUGAUACUGUUUGUCUUGAGUUCGAGAGAGGUAAGUGGAACUGCGAGUGUAGAGGUGAAAUUCGUAGAUAUUCGCAAGAACACCAGUGGCGAAGGCGGCUUACUGGCUCGAAACUGACGCUGAGGCGCGAAAGCGUGGGGAGCAAACAGGAUUAGAUACCCCCGUAGUCCCUGUCUCUUAUAA